Molecule: ribosomal RNA, 504 nt
Filed under: uncultured bacterium
Lineage: Bacteria
Description: bacterial SSU rRNA
Rfam family: Bacterial small subunit ribosomal RNA
Source: RNAcentral
UAGUCCACGCCGUAAACGAUGGAUACUAGCUGUUUGGACUUCGGUCUGAGUGGCUAAGCGAAAGUGAUAAGUAUCCCACCUGGGGAGUACGUUCGCAAGAAUGAAACUCAAAGGAAUUGACGGGGGCCCGCACAAGCGGUGGAGCAUGUGGUUUAAUUCGAUGAUACGCGAGGAACCUUACCAGGGCUUAAAUGUAAGUUGCAUAAACUAGAGAUAGUUUUUUCUUCGGACUACUUACAAGGUGCUGCAUGGUUGUCGUCAGCUCGUGCCGUGAGGUGUCAGGUUAAGUCCUAUAACGAGCGCAACCCCUAUUGUUAGUUGCCAGCGGGUCAUGCCGGGAACUCUAACAAGACUGCCGGUGCAAACCGUGAGGAAGGUGGGGAUGAUGUCAAAUCAUCACGGCCCUUACGUCCUGGGCUACACACGUGCUACAAUGGCCAGUACAGAGAGCAGCCACUGCGCGAGCAGGAGCGAAUCUACAAAGCUGGUCACAGUUCGGAUCGG